CCUACGGGAGGCAGCAGUGGGGAAUAGUGCACAAUGGGGGAAACCCUGAUGCAGCGACGCCGCGUGAGUGAAGAAGUAUUUCGGUAUGUAAAGCUCUAGCAGCAGGGAAGAAAAUGACGGUACCUGAGGAAGAAGCACCGGCUAACUACGUGCCAGCAGCCGCGGUAAGACGUAGGGGGCAAGCGUGAUCCGGAUUUACUGGGGGUAAAGGGAGCGUAGACGGCAGCACAAGUCUGGAUUGAAAUGCCGGGGCUUAACCCCGGAACGGCUUUGGAAACUGUGCAGCUAGAGUGCAGGAGAGGUUAGUGCAAUUCCUAGUGUAGCGGUGACAUGCGUAGAUAUUAGGAGGAACCCCAGUGGCGAAGGCGGCUUACUGUACUGUAACUGACGUUGCGGCUCGAACGCGUGGGGAGCAAACAGGAUUAGAUACCCUUGUAGUC
RNAcentral lists this ribosomal RNA (440 nucleotides) under uncultured bacterium. RNAcentral describes it as "partial 16S ribosomal RNA". It matches the Rfam family "Bacterial small subunit ribosomal RNA", at positions 338 to 795 of the family's 1533-position model. The record is from RNAcentral.